Molecule: long non-coding RNA, 440 nt
Organism: Grammomys surdaster
Lineage: Eukaryota; Metazoa; Chordata; Mammalia; Rodentia; Muridae
Exons: 2
Source: RefSeq, a predicted model, not a curated record
GCUGCCUGAUCCGGCACCACAUUCAUUACAGUGGACAGAUGUCUCUGAGGAGGAGCUGCUAGCUGAUAAGGCAGUACCUGGAAUGUGCUGCAGUGCAUGAAGUUUGUGGUCUCCAGAGCAGCAAGGAGAGCCAGGAGUGGCAUUCAUCAUCUUCAGAGCACUCAUCCUUAAUGGAGUGGUCCCAACCUUAGUGCUCAAACAUGAACGGUUGGACACAAACCUGCCUGGCUGACAAAGCACUAGACAUCCACCCACAUUUGUAGACCGGUGUUCAGAUUGCUGCACAUCCUACUGAAGAUGCCACAGAUGACAUGGUUACUUUUGAUUGCUGCUGUUCUCUUCUUGCUGGUGAUGUUCUCUUUUUAAGUUUAGAAGAGGACAUCUAGUUAGUUUGUUGUUAUGGUAGUCAUCUACUGGCAUUAAAAACCAGCAACCAACUG